GACGAACGCUGGCGGCGUGCUUAACACAUGCAAGUCGAACGGAAAGGCCCUGCUUUUGUGGGGUGCUCGAGUGGCGAACGGGUGAGUAACACGUGAGUAACCUGCCCUUGACUUUGUGAUAACUUCAGGAAACUGGGGCUAAUACCGGAUAGGAGCUCCUGCUGCAUGGUGGGGGUUGGAAAGUUUCGGCGGUUGGGGAUGGACUCGCGGCUUAUCAGCUUGUUGGUGGGGUAGUGGCUUACCAAGGCUUCGACGGGUAGCCGGCCUGAGAGGGUGAACGGCCACAUUGGGACUGAGAUACGGCCCAGACUCCAACGGGAGGCAGCAGUGGGGAAUAUUGCACAGUGGGCGGGAGCCUGAGGCAGCAACGCCGCGUGCGGGAUGACGGCCUUCGGGUUGUAAAGCGCUUUCGCCUGUGACGAAGCGUGAGUGACGUUAAUAGGUAAAGAAGCACCGGCUAACUACGUG
This 468-nucleotide ribosomal RNA is filed under the name uncultured bacterium. RNAcentral's name for it is "partial 16S ribosomal RNA". It matches the Rfam family "Bacterial small subunit ribosomal RNA", at positions 28 to 507 of the family's 1533-position model. The record is from RNAcentral.